RNAcentral lists this long non-coding RNA (5867 nucleotides) under Triticum aestivum (bread wheat). Its description in RNAcentral is "long non-coding RNA (TAES_LNC024659)". Lineage: Eukaryota; Viridiplantae; Streptophyta; Magnoliopsida; Poales; Poaceae. The record is from RNAcentral.
UUUUUUUCUCAUCUUCAUGUGUUUUACCAUUAUACUUUAUACUCCAUCUAGCCAAUAAGUACACCACCAUUUCAUACUUAUUACAUGGAAAUACACCAUACAGUGAUACGAUUCUUCAUCAGAAGGCAAAAAGAAAGGACUACAUAACUGAACUCAGAUUGUAAACUUCAUGCAUUGAAUAGCAGCAAUGGACACCCCAGCACCCAUCACUCUCCUGGAAUAAUAACAGAGGAAAUAACAAGCUGAAUUAACUAACACCAUUACAUACACUACGCGUGUCAAGGAACUGAACUUUGUAUUUUACAAAAAAGCUCAAUCAUGCACGUACCUUCAUCCAUUACAUACACUACAUGUGUCAAGGAACUGAACUGGGACCUUUGUGCAUGCACCUGAUAACUCAGCCUCUUCCUCCCCUUCAAAAAAGAAAUAAAUCAUAAUUUACGUUGAAGCGGUCAUCCAUGGUGGAUUUUUUCCAGAUUUUCCAUCCAAUAAGGGACAGAGAUUGUUGACUAGUGACAAGAAAAAGAGAAGGGCAUGUAUAGUGUCACACACACACACACCAACCAACCGUGUUCCCUUUUUCCAUCUGGACUCAACAUGUUCCUUCAUCAGUCUUUCCAGGAAAUUGCCAGGCUCAGAUCCCUUUGCUUUGGUGACUUUUUUUUAUCAUUACAUGUAACGGUGAAGAAUAGGACAACUUGUUACGUCUGUUAGUUUUGGCUGCACAAGAUAUGAAAUAAUCAACGGAGUAAACAACUCAAUGUACAGAAAGUUACACAUCAAGUAGAUAAUUCUUAAUCUGAAACAAGUCAUGCCUAGACGCCAUGAUCAAAUUGAGUACCGCGUUAGUGGAUGAUAGGAAAGAAUACGACUCAUUUUUUCUGAAAAGUACAUCCUCAGCUUCAGCUGGUACCAAGAGAAACGACUUUGGAGCCAAUGGCAGAGCAAUAAUAGUGUGCCUCCCCCCACCCACACACACACACCAACCUCCUCACCCCUUGUUCUAGAUUUCCAGUUUGCAUCUCUGGGAGACUGUAAACAGCCAAAAACCAUGCCGAUCGGAGAAGCUGUUCUGUCUGCCUUCAUGCAGGCACUCUUCGAGAAAGUGAUCGCUACCGCUUUUGGUGAGCUGAAAUUACCUCAAGAUGUAGCUGAGGAGCUGGAGAAACUAUCCAGCAGUCUGUCAACCAUCCAAGCUCACGUUGAAGAUGCUGAGGAGCGGCAGCUGAAGGAUAAGGCGGCACGAAGCUGGCUUGCCAAGCUCAAGGAUGUUGCAUAUGAGAUGGAUGACUUGCUCGAUGAUUAUGCAGCUGAGGCCCUUCGAUCCAAACUAGAAGGCCCGUCCAGAGACAACCAUUUGAGCAAGGUUAGAAGCUGUUUCUGUUGCUUUUGGUUCAACACCUGUUUAUUCAACCACAAGAUUCUGCAAGACAUAAAGAAGGUGGAGGAGAAGCUCAAUAGGCUUGUCCAGGAAAGAGAGAUUAUUGGUCCAAACAUGAUUAGUGCAACAGACAGGAAAGAGCUAAAAGAGAGGCCUCAGACAAGUUCAAUAAUCGAUGACUCAAGUGUGUUUGGAAGAGAAGAAGAUAAGGAGACCAUUGUGAAGAUGUUGCUUGAUCAGAAUAACUCCAACCAUGCCAACCUUUCUAUUCUUCCCAUAGUGGGCAUGGGUGGACUAGGGAAGACGACUCUAACACAGCUUGUGUACAAUGAUACAAGAAUAAAGGAGCAUUUCCAGUUAAGGGUCUGGCUGUGUGUUUCUGAAAAUUUUGAUCAGAUGAAGCUUACCAAGGAAACCAUUGAAUCAGUUGCCAGCGAGUUUGAAUCAACCAUCAGUUGGGUCUCAUCCGUCACGACCAACAUGAACUUGCUCCAAGAAGACCUCUCAAAAAAGCUAAAAGGUAAAAGGUUUCUUCUAGUACUUGAUGAUGUAUGGAAUGAGGACCCUGAAAAGUGGGGUACAUAUCGCCGUGCUCUACUUACUGGAGGAAAGGGAAGCAGAAUAGUAGUAACCACAAGGAACAAAAAUGUGGGGAAACUAAUGGGUGGGAUGACUCCAUACUAUCUAAAUCAGUUAUCCGACAAUGAUUGCUGGUCUUUGUUCAGGAGCUAUGCAUUUGUGGAUGGUAACUCCAAUGCACACCCAAAUUUGGAAAUGAUAGGCAUGGAAAUUGUGAAGAAGUUGAAAGGCUUACCACUGGCUGCAAAAGCAAUAGGCAGCUUACUGUGUUCCCAGGAUACUGAGGAUGACUGGAAAAACGUAUUAAGGAGUGAAAUAUGGGAACUGCCAUCGGAUAAGAACAAUAUAUUACCAGCUCUGAGAUUGAGUUACAAUCAUUUGCCUGCCAUACUGAAGAGAUGUUUUGCAUUUUGCUCAGUCUUUCACAAAGACUAUGUGUUUGAGAAAGACAAAUUGGUCCAGAUAUGGAUGGCCCUUGGAUUUAUUCAGCCUCAGCGGAGGAGAAGAAUGGAAGAGAUUGGAAGUAGCUAUUUUGAUGAAUUACUAAGCAGGUCCUUCUUCCAACAUCACAAAGGUGGAUAUGUGAUGCAUGAUGCUAUGCAUGACCUAGCACAGUCGGUCUCAAUUCAUGAAUAUCUCAGACUGGAUGACCUUCCAAACAACAGCAGCUCUGCAAGAAGUGCCAGGCACCUCUCAUUCUCUUGUGAAAAUAGAAGUGAGACUUCAUUUGAAGCCUUUCUUGGAUUUAAAAGAGCACGGACACUUCUACUGCUAAGUGGAUAUAAAUCAAUGACAAGGUCUGUCCCCAGUGAUCUGUUCCUCAAGUUAAGGUACCUCCAUGUACUCGAUUUGAACCGGCGAGACAUUACUGAGUUGCCAGAUUCUAUUGGAAGCUUAAAAAUGCUUCGGUAUUUGAAUCUCUCGGGCACUGGUAUAGCAAUGUUGCCUUCGUCAAUUGGUAGACUCUUCAGCUUGCAAAUACUUAAGUUGAAAAACUGCCAUCAAUUAGAUUGUCUCCCACAAAGCAUAACCAAUCUUGUAAAUCUUCGAUGGCUAGAAGCAAGAACAGAGUUGGUCACGGGCAUAGCCAGAAUAGGUAAAUUAACCUGUCUUCAACAGUUGGAUGAAUUUGUGGUCCGUACAGACAAAGGAUAUAAGAUCAGUGAAUUGAAGGAAAUGAAGGAGAUUAGAGGGCAUAUUUGUAUUAAGAAUAUCGAGUGUGUGGCUAGCAUAGAGGAAGCAAUUGGAGCUUUUCUAAGCGAGAAGGCGUUCAUCAGCAUCCUAGACCUUAUCUGGUCCGAUAACAGGCACAUAGCAUCAGAAGAAGCAAAUCAAGACAAAAGGAUACUUGAGGUUCUCCGGCCACAUCAUGAACUGAACGAGCUAACUGUCAAGGCAUUUGCAGGCUCCUCCUUCCCAAAUUGGUUUGGUAGUCUUUCCCACUUGCAAACCCUCCACCUGUCUGAUUGUACAAAAUGUUCGACUCUACCAGCACUGGGAGAGCUGCCUCAACUCAAGUAUUUAGAUAUUGGUGGUUUUCCGGCCAUUAUUCAAAUCAGCCAAGAUUUUUCAGGUACCAAUGGAGUUAAUGGGUUUCCAGCACUGAAAGAGCUCGUAUUCGAAGACAUGAGUAAUUUCAAAAGGUGGGCUUCUGUACAAGAUGGUGAAUUUCUUCCAUCCCUCACAGAACUUGUAGUGGUGGACUGCCCCAAAAUAACAGAGUUCCCACUACUCCCAUCAAUGCUAGUGAAGCUCAAAGUUUCUGAAACGGGGUUCACUAUUCUUCCAGAAGUCCAUAUUCCAAACUCCCAGUUUCCAUCGUCGUUAGAAUGCUUACAGAUUCAUCAGUGCCCAAAUCUCACAUCCUUACAAGAAGGACUGCUUAGCCAGCAAUUAUUGGCUCUCCAGCAGUUAACCAUCACUCAAUGUUUAGACCUAAUUGACCUGCCAGUUGAAGGAUUCAGAUCCCUGUCUGCUCUUAAGAGUCUUCACAUCUAUGACUGCCCAAGGCUGGCACCAUCAGGACAGCAUAGCUUGCUGCCCUCCAACCUUGAAGACUUGCGCAUCAGCUCAUGCUCCAACCUUAUCAACCCUCUUCUUCAAGAGCUUAAUCAGCUCUCCUCGUUGACACAUCUCACCACCGCUGAUUGUGCUAGCCUUCAGUCUUUUCCAGUAAAGCUCCCUGCCACUCUGCAAAAACUGGAGAUCCUCGAUUGCAUUAAUCUGAUCUACUUGCCUGCUGGUCUAGAAGAUGCAUCGUGCCUAACAACCAUAACCAUCUUGAAAUGUCCUCUCAUACCAUGCUUGCCAGGGCGCCUUACAGGGUCAUUGAAAGAACUGUACAUCAAAGAAUGCCCGUUUCUAUUGGAGAGUUGCCAGGAAAACAGUGGAAGAGAUUGGUGUAAUAUUGCUCAUGUACCAAUCAUUGAGAUCAGUGAUGAUACCAACAUAACCAACAAGAGCACACGAAGAAGAUUAUCAUGAGUGCCUCACAGCAGUGCUACACAAAUGGUAUGACCUAGAUAUAUUUUUCUGCUUGUCUUGCAUAAACAUGUUUUGUCUACUAAUUGUAAACUUUCAUAGUAGAACCAAAAUCCUCUAUAGGUGAUUUUGCAUUCGUUAUUGCACCUAUUUUGCAUCUUAGCACAUAAACACACUUAGGUUCAAAUGUCUUGUAACACCUAACCGCUAGAAAUAACCAUACACUAGGAAACUACUGUAAACAUCAGCUGCAACACUGUAUAGAGCCUUGCAUUCAAAGAAAAAUGAACAUAUUUUAAUAGAAAAGUAAAACUAAUGGGAUUGCCAAUUUAAGACUCAGUAAUAACAAUUCAACAAAAAUAAACCAUCAAAAGAUUCAUUAUCUACCUCAUGUAUCCUAGAAUCAUCUAAGUGUUUGAUGUAUUAAAAAAGUUUCAUAUCAACAGGUGCGCCACGGAGAUCAUUGACCAUGGUCAAGUCAUAUAGCUGUUCCGUUCAGAAAACAAAACCUAAACCUUCAGCUGUGAUACGAGAAAGUUUGUUCGUGCGCAGUGCGAGCAUGCAUAGUAGCAAGCUUAUCUGGUCAACAUUUACAAAAUAUGGUUGCAUUAGCUUCUACUCCCUCCGUUCCAAAAUAGAUGACUCAACUUUAUACUAACUUUAGUAGAAAGUUGAGUCAUCUAUUUUGGAACGGAGGGAGACUAGCAAACUCCAGAUUAAUACUUCUAUACUGCCAGUGAAAUUUUUCAUAGAAUAGACAUAAUAAUGUCCCAACUCUUGGUUACUAAAAGUUAGUGUGGCUCUCUGUUGCAUAUGCAUUGCCUGUCUAGUGUCUACAGAAUGCAGUUCAACGCUAAACCUAAAAGAAGAUACUGUGCUCACUUGUGCACUUUCUUUUUUCUAUUUGCAGAUAUCGUCUCGAUUCUGGAAAUGAUUUUUGGACGAUGGUGAUAUUUCAAGACCACCUUGCAGUUUAGUCCCACCUGCCAUCAGAAGACUAAUCUAAUGUGCUUAAAUUCAAACGAUCAGAAAACUCAGUCAGUAAUUUUGAAUAAACAGGUCUAGUAGUUUCAGGCUUUCAGCGGAGGAAAUUGCCAAGACAGCUCUUUGUGCUUCUGUAAUUGUGUGCUCUGUGCUCUCGAAUACAUUCCAUUCUAUGAUUCUGAGACGCCUUCAUUUAUUUUUCUUCUCUGUAUGACCCUCUCAUUCAAUAGCUAAGGCUAUUUUUUCAAGAUUAUAUACUACAAUAGAGUACAGUAAUAACUGGAUGGCAUAAAGAGUAUACAUACAUGCCUUGUUUUUUGUGCAAAAUCCUAACUGAAAUCUAUUCAGUAAAGGAGGGGUUUAAAACGGUGGGAACCUUUUCUUCACUUCUGUCAGUAAACACCAUCAUAUCAAAGUCUGGUACCUCCACCAGGCAUUGCCC